CCUACGGGAGGCAGCAGUGCGGAAUAUUGGUCAAUGGGCUUACGCCUGAACCAGCCAAGUCGCGUGAGGGAAGACUGCCCUAUGGGUUGUAAACCUCUUUUGUCAGGGAGCAAUUGGCGCUACGGGGAGCGUUAUCGAGAGUACCUGAAGAAAAAGCAUCGGCUAACUCCGUGCCAGCAGCCGCGGUAAUACGGAGGAUGCGAGCGUUAUCCGGAUUUCUUGGGUUUAAAGGGGGCGUAGGCGGAAUGCCAAGUCAGCGGUAAAAUCGCGGGGCUCAACCUCGCUCCGCCUUUGAAACUGGCGUUCUUGAGUGGGCUAGACGUAUGCGGCAUGCGUGGUGUAGCGGUGACAUGCAUAGAUAUCACGCAGAACUCCGAUUGCGAAGGCAGCAUACCUGCGCCCACCUGACGCUGACGCACGACUGCGUGGGUAUCGAACAGGAUUAGCUACCCCUGUAGUC
RNAcentral lists this ribosomal RNA (460 nucleotides) under uncultured bacterium. RNAcentral describes it as "partial 16S ribosomal RNA". It matches the Rfam family "Bacterial small subunit ribosomal RNA", at positions 338 to 795 of the family's 1533-position model. The record is from RNAcentral.